This 512-nucleotide ribosomal RNA is filed under the name uncultured bacterium. Its description in RNAcentral is "bacterial SSU rRNA". It matches the Rfam family "Bacterial small subunit ribosomal RNA", at positions 33 to 518 of the family's 1533-position model. The record is from RNAcentral.
ACGCUGGCGGCGUGCCUAAUACAUGCAAGUCGAACGGUCUUUCUAUGGAAGCUUGCUUCCACUGAGAAGAUAGUGGCGGACGGGUGAGUAACACGUGGGUAACCUGCCCAUAAGAGGGGGAUAACAUCCGGAAACGGGUGCUAAUACCGCAUAGUUUUCUUGAUCGCAUGAUCGAGAAAGGAAAGACGGCCUUUGUGCUGUCGCUUAUGGAUGGACCCGCGGCGUAUUAGUUAGUUGGUGAGGUAACGGCUCACCAAGACGAUGAUACGUAGCCGACCUGAGAGGGUGAUCGGCCACAUUGGGACUGAGACACGGCCCAAACUCCUACGGGAGGCAGCAGUAGGGAAUCUUCCGCAAUGGACGAAAGUCUGACGGAGCAACGCCGCGUGAGUGAAAGAAGGUUUCCGGAUCGUAAAACUCUGUUGUCAGAGAAGAACAAGUCGGAGAGUAACUGCUCCGGCCUUGACGGUAUCUGACCAGAAAGCCACGGCUAACUACGUGCCAGCCGCCGC